This 236-nucleotide ribosomal RNA is filed under the name uncultured bacterium. RNAcentral describes it as "partial 16S ribosomal RNA". It matches the Rfam family "Bacterial small subunit ribosomal RNA", at positions 541 to 776 of the family's 1533-position model. The record is from RNAcentral.
UUGCUCGGAAUCACUGGGCGUAAAGCGCACGUAGGCGGAUUGUUAAGUCAGGGGUUAAAUCCUGGAGCUCAACUCCAGAACUGCCUUUGAUACUGGCGAUCUCGAGUCCGGGAGAGGUGAGUGGAACUGCGAGUGUAGAGGUGAAAUUCGUAGAUAUUCGCAAGAACACCAGUGGCGAAGGCGGCGCACUGGCCCGGUACUGACGCUGAGGUGCGAAAGCGUGGGGAGCAAACAGG